GGGGGAUAUUCAAAACCAUCCGACAUCGAGUAACAUUGGAGGACAAGUCUGGUGCCAGCACCCGCGGUAAUUCCAGCUCCAAGAGCGUAUAUUAACGCUGUUGCUGUUAAAGGGUUCGUAGUUGAAUUGUGGAGUAUGGCCACGGGAUUCAGUCCUUUUCCCACGGUCUAGGAACGUCCCGACCAUACUCCGAGAACGUCAGAAACUAAGAUCGCGGAAGCGUUUUUUACAAACUGCCACCGACUACGCGAGCAAUGUUCGCUGGUGGACGUCCGUGUUUUUUACUGUGACUAAAGAAGUGCGACCAAGGCAGUCCAUCGACAUGAAUUAGAAAGCAUGGGAUAACAAAGCAGCAGCCUAUGAGCUACCGUUUAGGCUUUUGUUGGUUUUAAAGGUUCGUGGGAGAUUACGGGCGUGUAGGACCGGCGUUGGGGGUUUUCCAAAAUC
This 447-nucleotide ribosomal RNA is filed under the name uncultured marine eukaryote. Its description in RNAcentral is "SSU rRNA". It matches the Rfam family "Eukaryotic small subunit ribosomal RNA", at positions 512 to 926 of the family's 1831-position model. The record is from RNAcentral.